This 532-nucleotide ribosomal RNA is filed under the name Salmonella enterica subsp. enterica serovar Newport. Its description in RNAcentral is "partial 23S ribosomal RNA". It matches the Rfam family "Bacterial large subunit ribosomal RNA", at positions 62 to 631 of the family's 2925-position model. Lineage: Bacteria; Pseudomonadati; Pseudomonadota; Gammaproteobacteria; Enterobacterales; Enterobacteriaceae. The record is from RNAcentral.
UAAUCUGCGAUAAGCGCCGGUAAGGUGAUAUGAACCGUUAUAACCGGCGAUACCCGAAUGGGGAAACCCAGUGUGAUUCGUCACACUAUCAUUAACUGAAUCCAUAGGUUAAUGAGGCGAACCGGGGGAACUGAAACAUCUAAGUACCCCGAGGAAAAGAAAUCAACCGAGAUUCCCCCAGUAGCGGCGAGCGAACGGGGAGGAGCCCAGAGCCUGAAUCAGCAUGUGUGUUAGUGGAAGCGUCUGGAAAGGCGCGCGAUACAGGGUGACAGCCCCGUACACAAAAGCGCAUGUGCUGUGAGCUCGAUGAGUAGGGCGGGACACGUGGUAUCCUGUCUGAAUAUGGGGGGACCAUCCUCCAAGGCUAAAUACUCCUGACUGACCGAUAGUGAACCAGUACCGUGAGGGAAAGGCGAAAAGAACCCCGGCGAGGGGAGUGAAAAAGAACCUGAAACCGUGUACGUACAAGCAGUGGGAGCACAGGUUUACCUGUGUGACUGCGUACCUUUUGUAUAAUGGGUCAGCGACUUAU